GCCGGUUUGGCUCAGUGGAUAGAGCGUCAGCCUGUGGACUGAAGGGUGCUGGGUUCGAUGCCAGCCAAGGGCA
Molecule: transfer RNA, 73 nt
Filed under: Myotis davidii
Lineage: Eukaryota; Metazoa; Chordata; Mammalia; Chiroptera; Vespertilionidae
Rfam family: tRNA
About the family: Transfer RNA (tRNA) molecules are approximately 80 nucleotides in length. Their secondary structure includes four short double-helical elements and three loops (D, anti-codon, and T loops).
Source: Rfam by way of RNAcentral